RNAcentral lists this transfer RNA (72 nucleotides) under candidate division Zixibacteria bacterium RBG_16_43_9. RNAcentral's name for it is "tRNA-Asn". It matches the Rfam family "tRNA". From Rfam's summary of the family: Transfer RNA (tRNA) molecules are approximately 80 nucleotides in length. Their secondary structure includes four short double-helical elements and three loops (D, anti-codon, and T loops). The record is from RNAcentral. RNAcentral also lists the same sequence under 1 other name. Lineage: Bacteria; Pseudomonadati; Candidatus Zixiibacteriota.
UCCCCGGUAGCUCAGCGGUAGAGCGGGUUCCUGUUAAGAACAAGGUCGUAGGUUCGAAUCCUACCCGGGGAG